Molecule: transfer RNA, 76 nt
Filed under: Nitrosomonas sp.
Lineage: Bacteria; Pseudomonadati; Pseudomonadota; Betaproteobacteria; Nitrosomonadales; Nitrosomonadaceae
Description: tRNA-Lys
Rfam family: tRNA
About the family: Transfer RNA (tRNA) molecules are approximately 80 nucleotides in length. Their secondary structure includes four short double-helical elements and three loops (D, anti-codon, and T loops).
Source: RNAcentral
GGGUCGUUAGCUCAGUCGGUAGAGCAGCGGACUUUUAAUCCGUUGGUCGCGCGUUCGAAUCGCGCACGGCCUACCA